This 28-nucleotide small RNA is filed under the name Bombyx mori (domestic silkworm). RNAcentral's name for it is "ovarian small RNA-37911". Lineage: Eukaryota; Metazoa; Arthropoda; Insecta; Lepidoptera; Bombycidae. The record is from RNAcentral.
UUGCUCAUUUACGCACUUGAAUCAGUUU